UACGGAAGAUCCGAGCGUUAUCCGGAAUUACUGGGCGUAAAGAGUUGCGUAGGUGGCAUGUAAAGCGAGUAGUGAAAGACUCCGGCUCAACCGGAGGUACAUUAUUCGAACUCACAAGCUAGAGCAUAGUAGAGGUACCUGGAAUUCCUAGUGUAGGAGUGAAAUCCGUAGAUAUUAGGAGGAACACCGAUGGCGUAAGCAGGGUACUGGGCUAUUGCUGACACUAAGGCACGAAAGCGUGGGGAGCGAACGGG
This 254-nucleotide ribosomal RNA is filed under the name uncultured bacterium. RNAcentral describes it as "partial 16S ribosomal RNA". It matches the Rfam family "Bacterial small subunit ribosomal RNA", at positions 524 to 776 of the family's 1533-position model. The record is from RNAcentral.